UACGUAGGGUGCAAGCGUUAUCCGGAAUUACUGGGCGUAAAGCGUGCGUAGGCGGUUUUGUAAGUUUGUCGUGAAAGCCCAGGGCUCAACCUGGGAAUUGCGAUGAAGACUGCAAGGCUUGAAUCUGGCAGAGGGGGGUAGAAUUCCACGUGUAGCAGUGAAAUGCGUAGAUAUGUGGAGGAACACCGAUGGCGAAGGCAGCCCCCUGGGCUGACACUGACGCUCAGGCACGAAAGCGUGGGGAGCAAACAGG
Molecule: ribosomal RNA, 253 nt
Filed under: uncultured bacterium
Lineage: Bacteria
Description: partial 16S ribosomal RNA
Rfam family: Bacterial small subunit ribosomal RNA
Source: RNAcentral